AUGGAUUUCAUUGUCGGACUACCUCGGUCACGGCACGGGAAUGAUGCCAUAUGGGUCAUCACCGAUAGAUUAACCAAGGUGGCACAUUUCAUUCCAGUGAAGAUAACCUACAACACUCAGAGGCUCGCCAGGAUUUAUCUCUCCCGUAUAGUUUGUCUGCAUGGAGUCCCGAAGACUAUAAUAUCCGACAGAGGCACUCAGUUCGUCUCAAGAUUCUGGGAUCAUUUACAUCAGGCUCUGGGAACUCAACUGGCUUUCAGCACAGCCUACCAUCCCCAGACUGAUGGACAGACUGAACGCGUAAACCAAAUUUUAGAAGACAUG
RNAcentral lists this ribosomal RNA (324 nucleotides) under Triticum aestivum (bread wheat). Its description in RNAcentral is "partial small subunit ribosomal RNA". Lineage: Eukaryota; Viridiplantae; Streptophyta; Magnoliopsida; Poales; Poaceae. The record is from RNAcentral.